UCCACACAUAAGGUCCUAAUCAAAAUACAAGAAAGAAAGAAAAAAAAAAUAAGCCUUAGUUAAUUUUCCGAAGAAAGAUGGUGAGUACACAAAACAAAACCCCUUUCAAUUUCUCUGCUCUCAAUUAAAGACCCCUUUUUUCAUUGCAGCCUCUAUUAUUAUUCAUCCCUUUCCUUUCUAAUCUUAACCACUUUAAACUUUUUGAACACCAAUGGCAACCCUUAACUUUCUUGAGGCUUCACCCUUUUGCAUCUCAAUGUCGUUGUUUGUUUCAGCAUCUUCUACCACAGUCUCCAAUGUCAUCCUAUUUUCUGAACAACACUUUAAUACCUCAAUGGUUAUCUCUGUCUCUUUCUCUUUGUUCUCCUUGUGUUUGCCCCAGAGAAUUGAGUAAAGUCCCAUUACUAUGAGAAUAGCUCCAAUGACCCUGAAAUCACAUGCAUAUAAAUCCACAUCAAUAAUUGUUGUUUACCACUAUUUCAAAGUUUGAGCUUUUUAAGAUUGUGAUGUUUCAACUUUUAUGUAAGAAACACCAAACUUUUAGUUUAUGAAACAAAAGAGAGUCAAUUAAAACUUAUAAACUUCUUUCUUUGUGCCUAAAAACAUGAUAUGUUCAUUGGGAGUGAAUAUGAGUAUUGAGUACUUACCCUCCAAGAUAUAUUUUUUCUGCAAGGAUGAAGGCACCCAUGAUGGAUCAAAGGGCUGAAAGCAGUAACGAAAACAGGCCCUUUUUUAUGCAUGACAAUCCCUUGAACAUAGUAGGUGAUACCUGAUGAUAUUAUUCCCUGGUUCACCAAAGUUUACGUCCAUUUAGAUUCUCAUAUGAUAUGGUUCAACAACAAAUACACAGAAAAAUAUAAUAAAAAUUAUUGUAUAAUCCGAGACUAACACAUGUCUAUAAUCUUGACUCCUGAUUAAUAUAAUAAUUUAUCAGAUAGAUCAUAGAUGCAUAGACAAAUAGAGAGGGAGAGUGGCUUACAUCAUAGGCUGCAGCAAGAAGGUUCAUGUCCCAGCCAAUGGUCGAAACAGAUGGUUUAUGCUCCAUGACAAAGGUAACUGCAAUUGACUACAGUGUACCUAAGGACCAUGGCUACUCCACCUACCUCGCCUCCUCAUCCUCCUCCUCCUCCUCCUGCAGACGCAUCAAAGUCUCCGUCUACCUUGAAGCAAACACGCAAAGCCACACGGCUACGAUCCUUGGCCACUAGACCACCUGGGGCAGAAAGACCAGUGGUCCACAUCGAUCCUGCGACCAGCAAGGCCGACGGUCCCCACAAGAAGAAAUUAAGAACAUAUUUGGGGAUUGUCACUCGUGAUAAGGUCGACGUGACAUACGAGAACUGGAAGGAAGUCCCUGCUGCUCAGAUGGAUUUGAUAUGGUAGAAUUUGAAAUCCCUAAAGCUUCUGACAGUAGGACAAAGAAGAAAGUUCUUCAGACUGUAGGCAAGCGGUGGAGGCAGUUUAAAUCAGACUUGACGAGGAAAUAGGCACUUGCAGCCGACAAGGACGGCGUGGACGACAUUGUCUAUGAAAAAUACGACAUUAGCAAGGAGAAAUGAGCCCAAUUUUGUCAGACCUGAAGAGACCCUACGUGAGAGGAUGUGCGGAAAAAGGCACAGGCCAUCCAGAAGCAAAACACUU
Long non-coding RNA from Glycine soja, 1641 nucleotides. RefSeq lists it as uncharacterized. Lineage: Eukaryota; Viridiplantae; Streptophyta; Magnoliopsida; Fabales; Fabaceae. The record is from RefSeq and is a predicted model, not a curated record. The transcript has 4 exons.